UGGGGAAUAUUGCACAAUGGGCGCAAGCCUGAUGCAGCAACGCCGCGUGAAGGAAGACGGUUUUCGGAUUGUAAACUUCUGUUCUUAGUGAAGAAGAAUGACGGUAGCUAAGGAGCAAGCCACGGCUAACUACGUGCCAGCAGCCGCGGUAAUACGUGGGUGGCAAGCGUUGUCCGGAAUUACUGGGUGUAAAGGGAGCGCAGGCGGGGAAGCAAGUCAGUUGUGAAAUCCAUGGGCUUAACCCGUGAACUGCAGUUGAAACUAUUCUUCUUGAGUGAAGUAGAGGUUGGCGGAAUUCCGAGUGUAGCGGUGAAAUGCGUAGAUAUUCGGAGGAACACCGGUGGCGAAGGCGGCCAACUGGGCUUUUACUGACGCUGAGGCUCGAAAGUGUGGGGAGCAAACAGGAUUAGAUACCC
This 416-nucleotide ribosomal RNA is filed under the name uncultured bacterium. RNAcentral describes it as "bacterial SSU rRNA". It matches the Rfam family "Bacterial small subunit ribosomal RNA", at positions 355 to 787 of the family's 1533-position model. The record is from RNAcentral.